GACGUAGGGCGCGAGCGUUGUCCGGAUUUAUUGGGCGUAAAGAGCUCGUAGGCGGCUUGUUGCGUCGACUGUGAAAACCCGCGGCUUAACUGCGGGCUUGCAGUUGAUACGGGCAGGCUAGAGUUCGGUAGGGGAGAAUGGAAUUCCCGGUGUAGCGGUGAAAUGCGUAGAUAUCUGGAGGAACACCGGUGGCGAAGGCGGCAUCCUGGACCGGUAUUGACGCUGAGGCGCGAAAGCCAGGGGAGCAAACGGG
Molecule: ribosomal RNA, 253 nt
Filed under: uncultured bacterium
Lineage: Bacteria
Description: partial 16S ribosomal RNA
Rfam family: Bacterial small subunit ribosomal RNA
Source: RNAcentral